This 216-nucleotide ribosomal RNA is filed under the name Glomeromycotina sp. RNAcentral's name for it is "partial small subunit ribosomal RNA". The stretch from base 44 to 216 matches the Rfam family "Eukaryotic small subunit ribosomal RNA", at positions 690 to 864 of the family's 1831-position model. The record is from RNAcentral. Lineage: Eukaryota; Fungi; Glomeromycota.
GGGUCAGUAGGUUGGUCGUGCCACCGGUACGUACUGGUCUCACUGAUUCCUCCUUCCUGAAGAACCGUAAUGCCAUUAAUUUGGUGUUGCGGGGAAACAGGACUGUUACUUUGAAAAAAUUAGAGUGCUUAAAGCAAGCUAACGCUUGAAUACAUUAGCAUGGAAUAAUGAAAUAGGACGAUCGAUCCUAUUUUGUCGGUUUCUAGGAUUGACGUA